RNAcentral lists this long non-coding RNA (1111 nucleotides) under Camponotus floridanus (Florida carpenter ant). RNAcentral describes it as "uncharacterized LOC105252660, transcript variant X2". The record is from RNAcentral. Lineage: Eukaryota; Metazoa; Arthropoda; Insecta; Hymenoptera; Formicidae.
UGCUGCACUAGUGCAAUUAGUUAGAGUGAAAGAAAUUUCAUGCUCUUUCCUGCUUUCCGCUUUCUGUUCUUUAUUCAAUUUACCGGCGAGAUACACACGUGGAGGAUCUGUGGAGGCAAUUCGAACAGAAGAUGUCCUAGCACUUGCACGUGCAUCGACUCUAUCAUUCUCAAGUUUUACCGCAUCAUUGUGAUCUGUGCGACCGCAGUUUCUAAAGGAAGAAUUGUACAAGCACGUGUCUUGGCAUUCCGAUCAAAAGUCCUACAUCUGUAAUAUUUGCGAAUUUUCGCGAUACGUUUGGAUGAGAUAGAACAUAGUACAAAGUAUUGACUCUAAAGCUUAUUAUCACAGAAUCUGUGGAGAAUAAAAAAACGUUCAAUUGAAUAGAAUCUUGAUGAAGGAAGAAAGUAGAAAAGAAGAUCAGGAACAAGAAUUUCAAAAGAAAAUCAAUAUCUAGGUGUUACACAGCCUUUUAAAUAAAAGCCUUUCAAAUAAAAAUUUAAUAAACUUUUAAAGAGAAUCAUUAUAUAAAGAAUUAAUAUCAACAAGCAUGAAGGUAUCAGCAAAUCAAGCAAAGAGCCUUUUCAAAGAAAAGGUUUUAUUUUCUUGCAACAUAUGUCACAACGAAUAUGUAGAACGAGCAGAUUUAUACUAUCAUGCUUUAAUCAAACAUAAACAAUUAAAUUGUUGUUUUCGCUGUGAUUUCAAUAUCUUUUUGAAUCGGGAAUCUUUUGAGAGACACAUGCUAAAGAGGCACAAUGUAAUACACGUCUGUAUGUUUUGUCCUGAAGCUUAUAACGGAUUGAUGUAUCGAAAGAAAAAGCAUGAUAAAACACACUAUCAAUGUAUAUACUGCCAGAAAGUUUUCUGUGGACCAAAGAAACUAUAUAAUCAUCUAUAUGUACACUCAAAGCCAUUUGCAUGUUCGGUCUGUGCGGAGAAAUUUAAUACGAAAGUCGCACUGAGAUUGCAUCUUGUUAACAAACAUCAUGAAGAACCAUGUGACUUGUUGCCGAGUUUCAAAAAUCUCUAACAUUUUAAAAACUUAGUUGUAAAAUGAGAAGGAAAUAUAAAGAUAAACAAUACAAUCCCCAGAAUGCGCUCGGAUCAA